GAUGAACGCUGGCGGCGUGCCUAAUACAUGCAAGUCGAGCGAACAGACGAGGAGCUUGCUCCUCUGACGUUAGCGGCGGACGGGUGAGUAACACGUGGAUAACCUACCUAUAAGACUGGGAUAACUUCGGGAAACCGGAGCUAAUACCGGAUAAUAUAUUGAACCGCAUGGUUCAAUAGUGAAAGUCGGUUUUGCUGUCACUUAUAGAUUGAUCCGCGCCGCAUUAGCUAGUUGUUAAGGUAACGGCUUACCAAGGCAACGAUGCGUAGCCGACCUGAGAGGGUGAUCGGCCACACUGGAACUGAGACACGGUCCAGACUCCUACGGGAGGCAGCAGUAGGGAAUCUUCCGCAAUGGGCGAAAGCCUGACGGAGCAACGCCGCGUGAGUGAUGAAGGUCUUCGGAUCGUAAAACUCUGUUAUUAGGGAAGAACAAAUGUGUAAGUAACUAUGCACGUCUUGACGGUACCUAAUCAGAAAGCCACGGCUAACUACGUG
RNAcentral lists this ribosomal RNA (497 nucleotides) under uncultured bacterium. RNAcentral describes it as "partial 16S ribosomal RNA". It matches the Rfam family "Bacterial small subunit ribosomal RNA", at positions 28 to 507 of the family's 1533-position model. The record is from RNAcentral.